GUGUGAGUGUGUGUGUGUGUGUGUGUGUGCGCGCGUGCGUGCACGCGCAUGCGCGC
RNAcentral lists this microRNA precursor (56 nucleotides) under Choloepus hoffmanni (Hoffmann's two-fingered sloth). RNAcentral describes it as "miRNA (ENSCHOG00000014122.1)". Lineage: Eukaryota; Metazoa; Chordata; Mammalia; Pilosa; Megalonychidae. The record is from RNAcentral.